Molecule: ribosomal RNA, 503 nt
Filed under: uncultured bacterium
Lineage: Bacteria
Description: partial 16S ribosomal RNA
Rfam family: Bacterial small subunit ribosomal RNA
Source: RNAcentral
GAUGAACGCUAGCGACAGGCUUAACACAUGUAAGUCGAGGGGCAGCGGGGUGUGGCAACACAUUGCCGGCGACCGGCGCACGGGUGAGUAACGCGUAUUCAACUUGCCUAUCAGAGGGGGAUAACCCGGCGAAAGUCGGACUAAUACCGCAUAAAACAGGGGUUCCGCAUGGGGAUAUUUGUUUAAGAUUAAUCGCUGAUAGAAAGGCAUGCGUUCCAUUAGGCAGUUGGCGGGGUAACGGCCCACCAAACCGACGAUGGAUAGGGGUUCUGAGAGGAAGGUCCCCCACAUUGGUACUGAGACACGGACCAAACUCCUACGGGAGGCAGCAGUGAGGAAUAUUGGUCAAUGGCCGGGAGGCUGAACCAGCCAAGUCGCGUGGAGGACGAAGGUCCUACGGAUUGUAAACUUCUUUUGUGCGGGAAUAAAGUCGGGGACGCGUCCCCGUUUGCAUGUACCGCACGAAUAAGCAUCGGCUAACUCCGUGCCAGCAGCCGCAGUAA